Molecule: ribosomal RNA, 253 nt
Filed under: uncultured bacterium
Lineage: Bacteria
Description: partial 16S ribosomal RNA
Rfam family: Bacterial small subunit ribosomal RNA
Source: RNAcentral
GACGAACCGUGCGACCGUUGUUCGGAAUCACUGGGCUUAAAGGGCGCGUAGGCGGGCCUGCCGGUCGGGGGUGAAAUGCCACAGCUCAACUGUGGAAGUGCCCCCGAUACCGCGGGUCUCGAGGGGGAUAGGGGCGUGUGGAACUUCCGGUGGAGCGGUGAAAUGCGUAGAUAUCGGAAGGAACGCCGGUGGCGAAAGCGACACGCUGGAUCCCUACUGACGCUGAGGCGCGAAAGCCAGGGGAGCAAACGGG